RNAcentral lists this ribosomal RNA (497 nucleotides) under uncultured bacterium. Its description in RNAcentral is "partial 16S ribosomal RNA". It matches the Rfam family "Bacterial small subunit ribosomal RNA", at positions 28 to 507 of the family's 1533-position model. The record is from RNAcentral.
GAUGAACGCUGGCGGCGUGCCUAAUACAUGCAAGUCGAGCGAACAGAUGAGGAGCUUGCUCCUCUGACGUUAGCGGCGGACGGGUGAGUAACACGUGGAUAACCUACCUAUAAGACUGGGAUAACUUCGGGAAACCGGAGCUAAUACCGGAUAAUAUAUUGAACCGCAUGGUUCAAUAGUGAAAGACGGUUUUGCUGUCACCUAUAGAUGGAUCCGCGCCGCAUUAGCUAGUUGGUAAGGUAACGGCUUACCAAGGCAACGAUGCGUAGCCGACCUUAGAGGGUGAUCGGCCACACUGGAACUGAGACACGGUCCAGACUCCUACGGGAGGCAGCAGUAGGGAAUCUUCCGCAAUGGGCGAAAGCCUGACGGAGCAACGCCGCGUGAGUGAUGAAGGUCUUCGGAUCGUAAAACUCUGUUAUUAGGGAAGAACAAAUGUGUAAGUAACUAUGCACGUCUUGACGGUACCUAAUCAGAAAGCCACGGCUAACUACGUG